UGCUGCCGAUGAUGUUGACUAUAUACACUUAACCUACAUUGUUUGAUGUUCGGUGAGAAGAAUAACCAAUUCUGAGGCACCA
Small nucleolar RNA from Patiria miniata (bat star), 82 nucleotides. RefSeq annotates it as small nucleolar RNA SNORD34. NCBI's taxonomy places the organism in Eukaryota, Metazoa, Echinodermata, Asteroidea, Valvatida, Asterinidae. The transcript has a single exon. The record is from RefSeq and is a predicted model, not a curated record.